Unclassified non-coding RNA from Nannospalax galili (Upper Galilee mountains blind mole rat), 264 nucleotides. Its record names the gene 7SK. It matches the Rfam family "7SK RNA". From Rfam's summary of the family: 7SK was discovered as an abundant small nuclear RNA in the mid-70s but a possible function has only recently been suggested. Two independent studies have found that 7SK RNA binds the CDK9/cyclin T complex (known as elongation factor P-TEFb). P-TEFb activates transcription by phosphorylating the C-terminal domain of RNA polymerase II. NCBI's taxonomy places the organism in Eukaryota, Metazoa, Chordata, Mammalia, Rodentia, Spalacidae. The record is from Ensembl.
AGAUGUGAGGGUGAUCUUUCACCCCAUUGGUUUCCAGGGUUGAUUUGGUUGAUCAGGUGUCUCCUUCCUCCCUUAAUGUUCCAUAUGUGUCCCUCCUGAAACUGCAUGCUCCAUCUGAAGAGGGUGAGCUACCCUGAGAGAGGAGGACUGGUGUUUAGUCAAGGGUAUAUGAGUAGCUGCAAUCCCCUGCUAGAACCUCCAAAUAAGCUCUCAUUUAUUUUAUGCAUAUGAGUAUUUGUCUGCAUGUAUGUAAGUGCACCACAU